Molecule: ribosomal RNA, 483 nt
Filed under: uncultured bacterium
Lineage: Bacteria
Description: bacterial SSU rRNA
Rfam family: Bacterial small subunit ribosomal RNA
Source: RNAcentral
UUGAACGCUGGCGGCAUGCCUUACACAUGCAAGUCGAACGGCAGCACGGGAGCAAUCCUGGUGGCGAGUGGCGAACGGGUGAGUAAUAUAUCGGAACGUGCCCAGUCGUGGGGGAUAACGUAGCGAAAGCUACGCUAAUACCGCAUACGAUCUAUGGAUGAAAGCGGGGGAUCGCAAGACCUCGCGCGAUUGGAGCGGCCGAUAUCAGAUUAGGUAGUUGGUGAGGUAAAGGCUCACCAAGCCGACGAUCUGUAGCUGGUCUGAGAGGACGACCAGCCACACUGGGACUGAGACACGGCCCAGACUCCUACGGGAGGCAGCAGUGGGGAAUUUUGGGCAAUGGGCGCAAGCCUGAUCCAGCAAUGCCGCGUGCAGGAUGAAGGCCUUCGGGUUGUAAACUGCUUUUGUACGGAACGAAACGGUGAGCUCUAAUACAGUUUGCUAAUGACGGUACCGUAAGAAUAAGCACCGGCUAACUACGUG